GUGGUGCAGAUACUUAAUAAAAUUGUGAAUAACUAUUGGAGGGGGUUGUGGAUUAGUUAUAGUGCCGCUCCAAGACAAGUGAAGGAUUUGUGGUGGAACGAGUUCAAGUUCAAAUGGGAGGAAUCGGAAGAGGAGGAAAUUAGAAGAAUUUUUAAGAAAAAAGCUAGUGAUCAUGUUCGCAAUGUGAUGAAUAGAGCAAAGACAUAAAAUGUCAAGCCGGAUUUUAUCAUCGGUGACGAUUGGGAGGAAAUAAAGACAAGUUGGGAAAUUGAAAAAAAUAAGGGAAGAAGUGAACAGAAUAAGAAGAAUCGAACUUCUUGUUCUACUGAAGGGUCUACGACGUAUACUGGGGGCUCCAUUAACGUUGCGGAGCAUAGAAAAAGGAUGGUAAGUUCUGAUAAAUAUGUGGUAAGUUAAUUUAAUUUGAUUGCUCAUUUGUAUUUCAAUUUUGUAGGCACAUGAAUUAGGAAUGGAGCCGACGUAUUUCGCUACAUUUGAACGAACAUUUCAAAAAAAAAAAAAAAAGAUAAGACAUGGACUAACAACCGAGUGAAAUGUAUUAAGGUAUGUAAGGUUAUAUACUUUUGACUUUAUGGAAACACGGUUUGAAAACCAUGAAUGCAUUCAAUGUUUAUGGUAGUUAGAUAUAUGUAGUUAUUUUAUUUUCAUAUCUAUUUUGUUGAUGUA
Molecule: long non-coding RNA, 687 nt
Organism: Rhodamnia argentea
Lineage: Eukaryota; Viridiplantae; Streptophyta; Magnoliopsida; Myrtales; Myrtaceae
Exons: 2
Source: RefSeq, a predicted model, not a curated record